CAUUCCUUGUGAUGCUGAGUAGAGUGAGGGUCCUGUUGUCACUGGACAGCUGCAGCCUGGGACUGACGAGGAGGCUCUGACCAUUUACCCGCCACAGGUCCCAGGUGUUCAGGUAGAUGUCCUCCAGGAGCACAGAUGACCUCAAGGAGCACGGGACCUGGGACGUGACUGCCCUCGACAUUCCUUCUGGUGGCAGACGCAGCUGGUGGACACCAACCAGUAAUUGAAAGCUGCCCAGCCGAGAAUUAGCUUCAUUCAAUUAAUACAAAGAAUGAAAGGGGGACAUGCUGGAGACCCCAAGAAUGUGGGACGUGACCAACUCAGUAUACCUCUGGAGGCUACGUGAGUAAAGAGCAAACUGUCCUGACGAAAGCAGGAUGUCAGGAAACUUACCAACUGCGUCUGCCACCAGAAGGAAUGUCGAGGGCAGUCACGUCCCAGGUCCCGUGCUCCUUGAGGUCAUCUGUGCUCCUGGAGGACAUCUAC
Molecule: non-coding RNA, 486 nt
Organism: Saimiri boliviensis boliviensis (Bolivian squirrel monkey)
Lineage: Eukaryota; Metazoa; Chordata; Mammalia; Primates; Cebidae
Source: RefSeq, a predicted model, not a curated record